AACGAACGCUGGCGGCAUGCCUAACACAUGCAAGUCGAACGAGACCUUCGGGUCUAGUGGCGCACGGGUGCGUAACGCGUGGGAACCUGCCCUUAGGUUCGGAAUAACUCCCCGAAAGGGGUGCUAAUACCGGAUAAUGUCUUCGGACCAAAGAUUUAUCGCCUUUGGAUGGGCCCGCGUUGGAUUAGCUAGUUGGUAGGGUAAAAGCCUACCAAGGCGACGAUCCAUAGCUGGUCUGAGAGGAUGAUCAGCCACACUGGGACUGGGACACGGCCCAGACCCCGACGGGAGGCAGCAGGGGGGAAUAUUGGACAAUGGGCGAAAGCCUGAUCCAGCAAUGCCGGGUGAGUGAGGAAGGCCUUAGGGUUGUAAAGCUCUUUUACCCGGGAUGAUAAUGACAGGACCGGGAAAAAAAGCCCCGGCUAACUCCGU
Molecule: ribosomal RNA, 432 nt
Filed under: uncultured bacterium
Lineage: Bacteria
Description: partial 16S ribosomal RNA
Rfam family: Bacterial small subunit ribosomal RNA
Source: RNAcentral